Molecule: non-coding RNA, 183 nt
Organism: Styela clava
Lineage: Eukaryota; Metazoa; Chordata; Ascidiacea; Stolidobranchia; Styelidae
Source: RefSeq, a predicted model, not a curated record
AAAUCUUACAAUAUGACUGUAUUGUAGGUCUUUACGUUAUCAGUGUUAAACCUUAUUAAACAUAAGGCUUUUUGGUAGGUCGUUACGUUUCAGUGAUUGCAACUAGGUAGGUCUUUACGUUUCAGUGAUUGCAACUAGUAUUGUUACUACUCAUUCUACAUUUAAUUGUCUGUACCAUUUGCA